This 253-nucleotide ribosomal RNA is filed under the name uncultured bacterium. RNAcentral describes it as "partial 16S ribosomal RNA". It matches the Rfam family "Bacterial small subunit ribosomal RNA", at positions 524 to 776 of the family's 1533-position model. The record is from RNAcentral.
UACGGAGGGUGCAAGCGUUAUCCGGAUUCACUGGGUUUAAAGGGUGCGUAGGUGGGCAAGUAAGUCAGUGGUGAAAUCUCCGGGCUUAACCCGGAAACUGCCAUUGGUACUAUUUGUCUUGAAUACUGUGGAGGUCAGCGGAAUAUGUCAUGUAGCGGUGAAAUGCUUAGAUAUGACAUAGAACACCAAUUGCGAAGGCAGCUGGCUACACAAAUAUUGACACUGAGACGCGAAAGCGUGGGGAGCAAACAGG